This 215-nucleotide unclassified non-coding RNA is filed under the name rhizosphere metagenome. Its description in RNAcentral is "partial ribosomal RNA internal transcribed spacer region". The record is from RNAcentral.
GUAGGUGAACCUGCGGAAGGAUCAUUACAGAGUUCAUGCCCUCACGGGUAGAUCUCCCACCCUUGAAUAUUAUACCUUCGUUGCUUUGGCAGGCCGUGGAAACACCAGAGGCUCCGGCUGAUGCGUGCUUGCCAGAGGACCUAAACUCUGUUUGUCUAUAAUGUCUGAGUACUAUAUAAUAGUUAAAACUUUCAACAACGGAUCUCUUGGUUCUG